AUGACUGCACCACUGUACUCAGCCUGGGUGACAGAGUGAGACCUUCUUUUUUUUUAAAAAAAAAAAAAGAGUGUCUCGGUACCACUGUACUACAGUGUCUGCUGCCUACCAUUGUUGUUUCGCAGCUGUUCAUGUCAGUGUUGUUUGCCUCAAAUUCUGCAAGCCCUUACUUCACUUGCUGUCUUCUGCUUCUCCUCCCCUCUUCUAGGCUGUCACACACUGGAGUCACUAUGGUUCUCUUUUUAUGUUCUCCAUCAGCACUCUCAACUUACCUUGCUAAAAUGCCUUUUCUCUCAACACCACUUACCCUGCCCACCCCAUGACUCCUACCUGUUUAUUUUGUCAUUUUCCUGCGACUCUUGAAUAUUUUUAAGCACAGUGUAAGAGACUCGAAAUUAGGGAAUGUGUCUGCCAGACACUCACUUGAGUGUUUCUAAUAUUUGGAGCUACUUUUUGGUUUAUGUAAUCAGCCCAUAUGGAUAACCUUAGUUUUGGGGCUGUGACUCUGAAAGGGGCUGAUGUGGCUCAGGAAUGAGCUGGUGUGGCCCAGGAAUGAGCUGGUGUCAUGGGUGAAGUCUUUUGGGUAUUUGCAUCUCUGAAGGUGGCAUCAGCCUUAGACCUCCUAGCAUCAAUGUUGAUGUGAUGUGGAGUAAAUGUGAGAUGAUGCUGUGCUAUCUGGGGUUUCUUGCAGUGCCUUGUUAACCAAUGCAUAAGUCGCUGAAAACUCCGUAAGUGUCCAUCACUACCUACCACAGAAACUGAGGGAAGAGUGAUCUUGGGAUGACCUUGCAUUAAGAGAAAAAUGAAAUCAAGUUUGCCCUCUGUAUGUAUAUCCCACUGUAUGCAACAUCAACAUGCGCUGUCCAGAAAGUCAUCAUAGAAUUGUUUUGCCCAAAGUUUAUUUUACCCACUUUUAGGAAAAAAGCUGUUAUGUAAAGCCUUAGUUGUUUGUAAUGUUCUUCAUUUUGUGGCAGAAGUCCCAAAUGUACUUCAAGUUUUCUGUCCUUGGAUUGGGAAAUAGAAGUCAUGUAUGAAAGGAAAGGAGAUAGCAGGCAGUCUUUGAGAUGAUCUAUUUCAGGACCAGUCUGCAGCUUUUCCAAGUUAAGAGUUCUGAAUAGGUUGUUAGGCUGGAGAUUAUGAUAGACGACCCCAGUUCUGACUGCAUCAUUGCCCAGACAGACCCAGUAUCUUUCACCAUUUUAUUCUUGACCAAAUGGCAUUCAUUUCCCAGUGUCUCAGUCUCCCUUAAAGGAAAAAGAACAAUAGCAGGCAUCCAUAGAGUGCUGUGAUGUAUCACUCUUGGUAAAAUGGAAAUGUAUGAUUGGAGUGUGUUUCAAGCCAGGCUUUUCUACAGUUCGCUUGUUCUGCUUUUCACUCCUGAUUUUUUGAGGUUUUGAUCUUGAGACAUUUUCUCUUCAGUGCCUCAGUUAUUACUAUGGAAUAACAUAGUAAGUGAAGAGGACUAACUUCUCUGCUGGGCUGUGGCUCUUCUAGUAAUUCUGCCACUCCUGGGUCAUUGCCUGAGGUGAGGAAGCCAGGUUAUCUUCUUGAGGCUCGUCACACCUUGGUGUCCGGAUGUGCCCUAGGACUGCAGUGGAGAGGUGAGCACAGAGUAAGGAAAACAUGUGGCACAUGUGUAGGGAGCAAGGCUGGAAUAAGAAGUAAACUCUCCCCCAAACAGACAAACAGCAUACAUUAGCUUCAUUCUGGGGUGAACCUGUAGUGAAUCCAAGAGAGAUGUGUUGGGCAGUUUUCAGUAUGUGUUAGGGUAUUCCUUUGAAGACCAUUAGGGGGUGGGGGGCAGGUAGAAGAAUCUACGUCACAUUUUCCCUUAUGUAUUUUUAUCUUAAAUUUUUAAAUUUUUUAUUUGAGACAAGGCCUCGCUCUAUCACCCAGGCUGGAGUGCAGUGGCACAAUCAUAGGUCUCUACAGCUCCAAACUCCUGACUCACUCUGUAGAGAGCUAUGAUCCUUCUGCCUCAGCCACCCCAGUAGCUGGGACUACUAAUGAGCGCCACCACAUCCAGCUAAUUUUAUGAUUUUUUUGUAGAGAUAUGAGGUCACUUUGUUGCCCAGGCUGAUCUCAAACCCCUGGGCUCAAGUGGUCCUCCUGCUUUGGCUUCCCAAAGUGCUGGGAUUACAAAUGUAAGCCACUAUACCCAGGCUUUCUUAUAUUUUAGAUGUCUAGUGAAGUUAAUAAAGGUAGCCCUUGAAGCUAUUGAGAGUUUACUCAGAGCCAGCAGAGGGAGUACACAAGUCUUAAAGCUGAUUGCAAGUAUUUUUUUCUCUCCACUCUGCUAAAAUAAUACCUUGAUUUUUUUUUUUUAAAAAGAACUCUGAAUAGUGUUUCCAUGUAAGUUUAUUGUCAUUAUCAGAAAAGGAUAGUUUGGCAGAGCAUGUGUGGAGAUUAAAAACUUAAAGCAAGUGUUUUAAAGGAAAUCUUGGUCUUCUAAGACCCAUGGUUUACUUCGCAUUCCUAGAUCAUUAAAUGGGAGUGCUUUUAGCUGAAAAAUAUCCUCCCCUGCCUUUCAUCUUUUUGCUACUCAAUUCUUGAUACCGUAUGUUCAUUUAUACCUAUGACCAAAUUUUUAUGGAGAAGUCAAGUGUCUGGAUCAGUGGGAUGUUCUGUGUUUUAGUGCUAUUUUGAUUAAGACUUUUGAUAUUUUCCAAAGCUUCACAGUUCCUCAUGGGUGAGAGAAAUGUAUGUGUGUACAUUUCUCUCAGGUAAGAGAGAAAUGUAAGGUAAAAGUAAGAGCAACAUUAUUUCCAACUCAAAAAUGAGUAUUCAUGGAUCUACAGGAGACUACCAUAACUUUGAACUUCUUGUAAUUCUGCAAUGCUAUAAUUUGUCCCCUCCCUCCUCUAUGCCCAUAUUUUGGUGGUGGGGGUUUAUUUUUUACAUGGCGGUUGGAGUGGGUUGAAUAGUGUUUCUCUAAAAUUCAUGUCUUCCUGGAACUUCAGAAUGGUGACCUUAUUGGGAAAUAGGAUCUUUCCAGAAGUAAAGUGAAGUCAUAUCGGCUUAGGGCAGGUCCUAAAUCCAAUGACUGGUGUGUAUAAGAAGAUGAGAAAAUACACAGAGACCCAAAUAAGGCCGUGGGAAGUUGGAGACAAAGAUUAGAGUGAUGCAGUUAUAAGCCAAAGAACACCAAGGAUUGCCAGGAGCUGCCAGAAGCUGGAAGGGGCAAGAAAAUAUCCUCCGUUAGAACCUUCUCAGGGAGCAUGGCUUUGCCAACAUCUUGAUUUUGGACCUCUAGCCUCCAGAACUGAGAGAGAGUGAACUUUUGUUGUUUUAAGCCCUUAAAUUUGUGAUAAUUCGAUAUGGCAGUCCCAAGAAACUAGCCUAACAGCCUCGGGAUAGAAGAGUGGGAAUGGCAGAGUUGCAGAUGGAGAAGAAUAAAAAGACUUUAUUUAGAUUCAGAUUAAAGUGUUAAUAAUCAUUUAUAGGCUACUUUCUUGUCAAUUACAUUUCUUCUUUUUUUAUUCUGCAGCAAGGACAGAGGGAGGCAUGAAUUUUCCUUGAUUUCCCAGUUAGAGCUACUAGAACAUGUCCCUCUCUCACAUGUGUCCUUCCCCCUAGUCCCUUCCUUACUGAAUUUUUUUUUCUGCCUAUUUUGUGAACUGACAGUAUGGCUGUGCUUGUUGAUUGUGGACUUGAGGUUUACAGUAAGUCGGUGAAGUCUGGCCGAGGGCUUUGGUCUAGUUGAGUCAGUCUUUGAGGGGAGGGGAGGGGAAGGAGAAACCAAGGAUCCUCGGUGGGAGAAUAAUGUGGAAGAAGAAGGCUCCUUUUGGCCAUGUCAAGGCUUGAGCAGAUAGCUGCAUACCAUGUUCACUGCCAUUGGUGAUGGUGGUAAGGCUAAUCCAGAUCUCUCUGGAGUCCUAUCAGUGUGUCCUAUGCUUGGUUCAAACCUUUCAAAGUCUCACACGCUUGGUACUUCAGGCUCACUUCCCCUCUGUUUUAUAUUUACAUCCGAAAAACCAGCUCUUCUGAUGAAGCACAGAACAUAGAGUGGUUGUCCUCAUAGGAGCAGCAGCAGCAGCAGUAGCCGUAGAUAUCUGGUAGGUACCCAGUAGGUGUUUGGCUCAAAAUGUUUAGACAUUUAAGAAUCAGUUACAUCUGUUUGUUUUCAUAUUUUAAAAUCGUAUUUUUGGAGAGGGGUGUCCGGGUUAGGUUAGAGAUACAGUUUGUUUUUCAUGAUUAAAAGGAGUCUACACAAAACAUUUUCUGGCUUAUUUAUAAUAGUAAUGACAAUAAUAAUAGCCAUGAUUUAUUGAGCCCUUACUAUGUGCCAUUUGCUUAACUACAUUUUUUUACGUUUAGUAUUGAUCCUGUAGUUUAAAGAGAAGGAAAUGGUUCAUGAAGGUUAAAGUAACUUGCUUGGGAUCCAAACCCAGGGCUCUCUGACUUGGGAGCUUCUGACUUUCCUAGUAUGCUUUCCUGUCUUUUGGAGUGUGUGUGGGACUUUGGGUGGGGUACAGCAAGAAAUUAAAGAGCUGUCCUUUAAAAAGUUUCUACUCUGUGCCGCAUUCUUCAUCUCUGUCCCCAGGAAUCCCCACCUUAAUUAAUGCUUUUGAGUUCGUCUUGAAUGAUCAUUUUCAGAGUCGUGCCGACUCUGAGUAACAGCAUCUCUCUGUGUGCUGGUGGGAAGUAGACUUGGCUUCAUGAUUUAGGCUUCUUUCCUUGAUUUUUGUAUGAGCUAAAUAACUUUUAAGAAUUAGCAUAUACCUGGGUCUUUAAUGGGAGAGUAGGAAUGGCUUGAGAAUUCUGUGAGAAACCUGUUGGUUUGGUGAGUCUGCAUUUCUCUUCGGUCACUACCAGGUGUGACCAUGGUUUACUAUGGGUCAGAUGCACAGAAUACUAUUUAUAAUAAUAGAGUGACGCAUGGUAGGUAGAAAUCUUUUGGGAUGGGCCCUUAUCGCAGAAGUUUCUAUGUUGGGACAGUAGGAUAUCUGUGCUUUUAUAGGCUUCAAGCAGAUAGAUGAAUGCAGACAGCAACAUCAAGAAAAGCAGAUUUUAGGAAAAAAAAAACACAUUUACAAGGAGUUCUUGGCAGAAGUUUUGCUGCUGAAUCAGAACUCAUAAUUAAUGAUAUUAAAAAUAUUGUGUGAGGUGGUCGUCUCUUUGCAGUGCAGUUACUAACAGUUUUAAAGGCAGGCUGCCAAGACAGAAACAGAAAAUGUUGCAUAAUGCAAGUUGCUGGCCAGGUUAGUGUUUAUCUCUACUGAAGAGCCUACUGCUUUUGUCUUCAAGGUAAAAAUAUGUAUGAGUAAGUCCUAAGAUGGUGGUUUUAAUUGGCCACAGGAAGGCAGUACCUAUGUGCCCUAAGAUAAAAUGUAGCUAACAGAAUGCUAAUAUUUCCAUAUUAUUCUGUUUAUGUUGGAAAAAAAUUACAGAACUCUCAGUUUCGUAGUAGAGAAGGGUAAGUAGUGUCUGGAUAAUGUCCGAAGGAUAAACUGAAACUCGUAUGAUAAACGUGAGCAGGCAGAACGGUGCUACCUGAUAACCGCGUAUAACAGCAUGCAGGGGAGGAUGGUGCGGCAGGAGGCUGCUGCAGUAGAAGGUGGCAGUGCCACUGUGGACUUUUAAAGGGACAACUCUGGGUACAAACCUGAAGUUUAAGGAGGGCAUAAAAUUAUAUACAUUUGAGUUUGUCUCCUUGAAAACUGGUUCUCUCUUUUUACUGCAUUAAAAAGAUCAAGUGGAUAGUUGAGUCAUUAAUUCAGGUAAUUCACAUUACAAAACUGCUUUUUUCCUGAGUGUCCUAAUCAUUGAUUUUUAAAAAUGAUAUUUCUUUGAUCAUAAAUUAUCUGCAUAAUGGCUUUGGUUCCAUAUUUCAUAUUAAGCUUGGGCUGAGUGAUGUUUAAAGCCUCCUGCUCACCCUCCUCCUGUUUCUUCCUAUUUUAUUUUACUUAAUACCUUAAAAAAAGAUGUAGAUUAAUUUUCUUCUGAUACCAUGAUGGUUUCAUAGAGUAAAACACUUUUUCUAGAUCUCUUUCAUUUGAACUUUUCCUGUUGAUAAAUCGCUGAAAAAAAAGAUCUACUUAAUUUAAAAGCAUUGCGAUGGGUCUUCCAGAGUUUUUACCUUACAUGUAGCUGCUCUAGGACUUACCAUCAACAUUUAUUUCCAAACCAAGGACUUGUUAAUCCCUUCCUUCAUAUUUUUGCAUCUGAGUCUGAAUUAGGUACGGGUUUUUCUCUUUGUUUUUUCAGUUAGAAAAACUUCAGUUGGUAGGAUGAGAAGGGACAUAUCUUACUCACUUUCAGUACAGUCCCAUUAACAGCAUUAAUGUGCCGUGUAUGAAUAUACUUAUGCAGAUUGGGGCCCACAAACUAGUAACAUUUUGGGCAAGAUAAUUUUAAGUAAAAAUUGAAGCUCUGAUGCUGCUCCUUUUUAAUUUUCUUUAAUAAUGAUCAGUUUCUUUUUAAAUUUCUUUAAUAAUGAUCAGUUAGAUGCAUCAUUUAUAUAACCCUGAGAAGCCUGGAAUUGACUUAUGAAAAUGUCGUAGGCCUGAUUAAAGUUAUCUUCAAGCUGAUACCAGUGUAAGCAUGUUUGCUUUAGAACACAUGGACUCUUAAGCUCCUAAUAGAUAAUUUUCUAGGUGAGCUAGUAUACUGUUUCUUGAAAUUAGUGGCCUAAAUCAGCCCUUCUAUCUCCAAGCCUGUCUAAUAAAGAUAAGUUUACAGCCGUCUUUUUGAAUAGAUGCAUGUCCUCUGCUGAACUGAAUUAUCUAAAUCAGUCCUGUUUAGUCUCCUCCCCUUCCAAGAAAGAUCCUUAUUUCAUACUGAAAGACUAGGUGAUUUGGGCCAUAUUUUAGGUUUUGUCAUUUGUUAAGGUCAAGUUCAGCAUUUGACUGUGGACAUCAUUUAGUAGAUGUUCCUUGGGAAGAGACUUAUUGGGAAGAGAAGUUUAUUCCAAUAGUCUCAUAAAAUCAGUGAAUGCUUCAAGUUAAUUUAUUAGCAGCCAGUGCUGAAUAAGCAAGGUACCACGUGUUAAAUAAGAAAGGUAACAGGUGGUGCUAGUGAAAAGUAUGUCAUCUAAGUUGGCUUUGAAAUCAAUUGUUGACCAGAUGAAUGUUUCAGUCAAAAAUUACGAUUCUUGUUUUUAAGAUGCAGUUUUAGCCACAUCUACAUUUUUUCAUCCACCAAAAAAAAUUUAAAUGGAUGAAUCUGUUUAGCUUUUAAUGCAGUGGAAAUACAUCUGGAUUUUUAUCUCUUGGCUCCCAGUGUUUGCUCUAUUGAUGUGAGCAGAGAUGAUUUUCACCUGACGUCUUUGUUGCCUGCCUGGAGAGUCCUUGCUCUUUCCAUUGACUGAGUUCUUCUAACUAGUUUCUUUUGUGUUCAUUGUUGUGCCUUAAACAGGAUCAUAAAGCUUUCAAAAAAAUUUUUUUUAGCUUGUUACCUCACGUGUCUGUGCUGGUCAAGAAGGAAGAGAAAAAAAUACCAAGGUUUUAUCAUUUGCAUUGCAUGUUUUUACAGCUUUGAAAACCCAUUUGUCAGUGAGGUUACUGGGAGGAUGAUUUCAGCUACUGGGUGCUCUGAGAGUUACUUCUUUAAUCUCUUCCCUCCCCAUUUCAAAAACAGUUUUUUUUGAUGGGGAAGAAAUUAUAUAUAUAUAUAUAUAUUUUUUUUUUUUGAUAUAUGAUUUCAAAGUUAAACUUUUAGUUGAUUUGUGAAAAACUAAAAGUUCUUUGCCUCAGGUUCUCAGUAACUUCUAAAAAAAAAUAGUAUACCUUGUUAAGAGGAUUUCCUGGUAUGUUCUUUGGACCGUUACCAAGUCUUUGGCACAUGAGGGUACUUCCUUGAUCAUCUAGCUAUUUCUGAUUUUUGAACCUGAGACAGCCAACAUUGGGUUGAUCCCUAGAUCAAUCUCACGAAUCUAACAGAUUAAUCUCUCUUUCACUUGUCCUGGUCAUUCCUGGUUGCUGUCCCAUUCUGUUCUUUUCCUUUUAUAUCUACUACACAUUGUCUGAAGAGGGCUUAUUCCCCUUGUCUUUCCUAUCCACCAGUCACCUUUCUCCUACAUCAGUGGUUUUUAACCCUGGCUGCAUUUUAGAAUCACCUGAAGAGCUUUCAAAACCACCAGUGUCUAGGUACCAUCCUAAGGCAGUUAGGUCAGAAUCUCUAGGUAUGAGGACUGGGCAUCUGUAUUUUUUAAGCUUCCCAGGUGGUGAUAAUGUAUAGCCAGAAUUGAGUAUCACUAUCUUAGAGAAAUUAGAUUUCGGCUGUGGAAGUUAUCAGCUAUUUUGGUAAUGACUUUUAGACCUGUUUCAGCCCUCUACUCCAUAGGAAGCUCCACAUGACAAGGAAUGCUAUAAAGUUGGAAUUAAAGAGGAAGGUUGGCUUCUAAGGACAAGAGCAUUAUUAUCACUUAACAAACUGUGUUUAACCUUCGGGCUCCUCCUCCUCUUUAGUAUAAAUGCAUGUGAUGUCUUUAGUUUCCAACUCCGACUCAUUUUUCUAGUCUCUACUGAACCUUAGUUAACUUACUUUGAAGUUUUCAGCAAUUUUAAAGAAGAGAUGGUGCUGUUUUAAGUCAUUGCAUGAGACUUAAAAACUGAGGUGCAUAAGCUUAGUAUUCUUUUGUGCAACCUAAUCUGAUAUACCAGCAGGUCCCACCAUAUCCUGAUGUUUUAAAGUAAUGGUUCUCCAAGUGAUUCCCUAGCACAGCAGUGUCAACAUCACCUAGGAACUUUCUGGGAAUGAAGAUUCUCAGGCUCACCCCACACAGACUAAAUCAGAAACUCUUUAACAAGCCUUAUAGGCGAUUAGAGGUUCUGAAACCUCAGCUUUUUAAGUCAUUUGCUAAGUCUGUAGAAUUAUUCUCGUAAUAGGAGUAAAUAAUCUAAUAUCUCAUGCCAUCUUGGCUUCAGAAUCCUGACAAGAAUGGAGGAAAAAAUGUGGUAUCUGAUGAAAUAUAACAAAGUUCUAGCCCCUUGAGUAUUUUGGACUUCCCACAGAUCUGUGUUGCUGUGUAGCCUUCUAUACAAGGCAAGGAUACUCACCUUUCAGGAUCACAACAAUAAAGAAUCCUCUCAGGUGUGCAGAGGAAACCAAAUGGGGUUCACCUUAGUGCAUGUAUUGUGUUCACAAAACUUAUGUUUAGGUUGGAUUCGUGGCUUUUUUUGUAUUUGUAUAUGAUCUUUUUCUCUUGUUUGUUUUGGUCUUUUGAGGACAUGCCUAGUUUUAAAACCAUCAGACAGGGGAGUAGUUGCACUGACUCAUCCCCAGACGGAUAUGGGACAUGUGAAAGAAAGAUAAGAUAAAAAUGUGCUGGGUGUAAUCAGUGUGAGAGUGUCAGUGCAGUGAAAGGGAGAGUGACAUGGCUCUUGUGAUGGAGUCAGGGGUAAGGCAGGACAUCCACUUUGGCUGAGGAUCCUAAAAGGCAUAUGACCUCUCCCACCACAGGUGGAGCCAGGUACAAAUCCAAACAAGUAUUGCUGUUUGUCAGUAUCAUUGGAUUCUGUAGUCCAUUAAGCAGGGCCUCAUGAUCAGCU
Sapajus apella (tufted capuchin) is the source of this 9491-nucleotide long non-coding RNA. RefSeq lists it as uncharacterized. The record is from RefSeq and is a predicted model, not a curated record. NCBI's taxonomy places the organism in Eukaryota, Metazoa, Chordata, Mammalia, Primates, Cebidae. The transcript is spliced from 2 exons.